RNAcentral lists this ribosomal RNA (261 nucleotides) under uncultured archaeon. RNAcentral's name for it is "partial 16S ribosomal RNA". It matches the Rfam family "Archaeal small subunit ribosomal RNA", at positions 748 to 1009 of the family's 1478-position model. The record is from RNAcentral.
CAGCCGUAAAUUAUGCUCGCUAGGUGUCAGGCAUGGCGCGACCGUGUCUGGUGCCGCAGGGAAGCCGUGAAGCGAGCCACCUGGGAAGUACGGCCGCAAGGCUGAAACUUAAAGGAAUUGGCGGGGGAGCACAACAACGGGUGGAGCCUGCGGUUUAAUUGGACUCAACGCCGGACAACUCACCGGGGACGACAGCAAUAUGUAGGCCGGGCUGAAGACCUUGCCUGAAUCGCUGAGAGGAGGUGCAUGGCGUAGACGUCU